GAUGAACGCUAGCGGCAGGCUUAAUACAUGCAAGUCGAGGGGCAGCAGGUCCCGCAGCAAUGCGGGAUGCUGGCGACCGGCAAACGGGUGCGGAACACGUACACAACCUUCCUUUAAGCGGGGAAUAGCCCGGGGAAACCCGGAUUAAUACCCCAUAGUAUAUUGAAGAGGCAUCUCUUUAUUAUUAAAGAUUUAUUACUUGAAGAUGGGUGUGCGGCUGAUUAGGUAGUUGGCGGGGAACGGCCCACCAAGCCUACGAUCAGUAACUGGUGUGAGAGCACGACCAGUCACACGGGCACUGAGACACGGGCCCGACUCCUACGGGAGGCAGCAGUAAGGAAUAUUGGUCAAUGGACGAAAGUCUGAACCAGCCAUGCCGCGUGGAGAUGAAGGUCCUCUGGAUUGUAAAACUUCUUUUAUAUGGGAACGAAAAAGGGAAUUCUUUCUCGUCUGACGGUACCAUAUGAAUAAGCACCGG
RNAcentral lists this ribosomal RNA (478 nucleotides) under uncultured bacterium. Its description in RNAcentral is "bacterial SSU rRNA". It matches the Rfam family "Bacterial small subunit ribosomal RNA", at positions 28 to 496 of the family's 1533-position model. The record is from RNAcentral.